Molecule: long non-coding RNA, 4422 nt
Organism: Numida meleagris (helmeted guineafowl)
Lineage: Eukaryota; Metazoa; Chordata; Aves; Galliformes; Numididae
Exons: 3
Source: RefSeq, a predicted model, not a curated record
GGUUGGCUCCUGUCAUGCCUGCUGCUUCUCCCAGCGCAGUCCCAGUAACAAGGGAAAGGUCAGAAUGGCUGCACUUGUCCUAACCUGGCCUUGGAAGAGCUGCUUGAAGCUCCUUGCUGAUGCUCAUAAGUAAAUACAGCUCUGAGGAGGAAAAGGACAGGAACGCUGCCCGCAGACCUGAGGCUGCUGCUGUGUGGGAGCUGUGCCAGGCAUGCUAUGGGCACCAGGAAAACCCAGGGAGGGAUGUUCAUCAGCUCUGGGGAACAUCAAACCUUUGGAUGAGCACAAGUCUUCAAAUGAUGCUGAGGGCAGAGGAAGAGACAAGCGUUUGGUCCAUGUAAAUAAAUCAACACCAAGAAAGACAUAAUGAAGAAAAAAGGGUGAGAGAAGUGUAGAAACAGGCGGAACGGGCUGAGAAUGGUGAUGGUGAGCGGGAGGAAAGCAGCUCUCGGGGCAAUGACGGCGGGCGUUUGUGGAGCUGGGGACGACGAAUCACGGUGGAACGAUGAAGAAUCUUUUAAUCAGCGCCGCAAUGCAGCCUGCACCCCCUGGGCCAGAGGAGCCACGGGGAAAACUUUCUCUUUGCAGGGGCAAAUUGUUCCCUUGUGUUGAACCUUUAAUUUUGACAAGAAAACACAUAGGCUGUAAUACCAAAAGAAAGUCAUAUCAAAGAAUAAUUCUUUCACUUUUCCUUAAAAGGUCGGGUUGCAAAUAGGCCUGGGCCUAUUAUUCCUGCUGAAGAGGUUGGAAAAAUUAAUGCUUUAAAACCAACUUUACCUUCAGUGCACAAUAUCCAAAAGCAAUAUGUAAAUGAGUAUGCAAAUUGCUUAAGUGAAGAAGGCAACAAUAUAAAGUUAAAUUUGACCUGGCUGUCAUUUGUUACGAGUGAAGGGCAACAUUAUUAAUACACCAUCAAAUGUAAAUGGUAGUAAUAUUUAUUCAUUGUGUUCUUACUUCUAAACCACCUCCUGUACCAGGUCUUUAGCUCUGAAUUAUCUCAGACUGUAAUCAUUUCUACAGAGCACAGUAAACCACUCGGACUGUAAUUAGUGUUGUAACUGCUGCCUUGGAAAUGUGACAGCAAUAAGAACUGUUGCUGCUUUUAAAACAGAUCGGGAAAAAUGAUCUGAUCUACUCCAAUCAGUUCUGCUCUUAGUGAUUUCUGAGCACCUUGUGAAUCAGGAGAUAAUUCCAAGUAUGCUGUCACGUAUCCUGUUGUAUGGCUUGUUAGCCACAGAGAGCUUGUGGUAGUAAUAGUAAUAAUCCUGGCAUGUCAUUAAACAAUGACAAAUGGGGAAAAAAAAAGGAACAAAACCCAAAUUAAAGAUGGAGACAGAUGUCUGGAGCCUAAAUUCCAAGUCAUGUUUUCGGGACCUGUUCUUCCUCCUGAAAGCAAGUUCGGAAACGCUGGACAUUUCUAUGAAGCAGAAAUCCUGACCUCUAAUUAGGAGCUGAGGUAGCUGCGAGAUUCAGUCAGGCUGUUCACUUUGCUACAAGGCAUGCCAAGCGUCUGCAAGAAGCUGUGUCACCCUUUGGUGUGACAGCCAGCUGUGCUGGGGAGCAGGGCUGUGCCAUUUGCAACGUCCCACCAUGACCCUACUUGGUGCACUGUCCCUGCACGGGGCUCAGCUGGGGCAGCAGGUCGGGUUUGGGCUCAAACCAGUCUCUCACUGCUGACUGCCUUCUCGCUGCCCUCCUGCACAGCAGCAAGGCUUGGUAUGCUAAAGUGGCCAUAAGUGUGCUGCUUAUGCACAGGACAAUGAGCAGCAGAUGCCCAUUGAUAACGGUAGUGCUGAUGUGGAGGCUGUGUUGGAAAUUCGUCUCGAGUUGCUGAAGAUGCAGAAAAACGUAUGUUUCUUAUUUGAAUGAGUUUUACCUUUUUAUCUAGAGACGGUGUAGAGCUGAGGAGUCUCUCAAAAAUGCCAGGAGCCUGAACAGCACCACAAAUAGAAUCCUGAAUCAAAUGUAAAUUAAGCUUUCUGCUGCGUUUCUGCAAUGAUCCAUCCAAAGAAGAGCAGAAGCUAAAAACUAUAAUAACAAUGGGAUAAAUUAUACAGUCCCACAAUUUUCCUAGCGCUGCUGUUAGCGUAACACGGGAUUGAUGUUGUAUCUAUUUUUAUUUUUUGCUGCUGGAACAGUCUUUGUCAAAGCAAGGAGGCACACGGAUUUCAGUAUCUAAUGUAUUUUGUGGAGUGCUGCUUUCAUCUGACCUUUUCAGCAUUUCUCAUUUCCGUGGGCUGGUCACCCUGCUCCUUUGCAACAGGUUGGACUCCCCUUUUAAUAGGAAAAGGAGGAGCGCAAUGGUCAACCACUCAAAGUACUGAAUACUAAAAAGGUCAGCAGAGCAUGGCACAGCACUGUGAAAAUGAGACAAUGCAAUCCCAGGUACCUCACUGCGGUAACAAAAAUUGUUGCAAGAAGAGAAAAUGUCACAACGCAAAUCUGUUUCUGGGGAGGUACAGGGCCUGGUGUGGCAUGCAUCUGUCCUGGCUGCAAAGUUAUGACCGUGUUUGUGCAGACUGCACAAAAUCUUGAGCAAAAUGACGUUGCAUGUGCGCCAGUCAAAGCUAUUUCCUUGUGAUCAAGUUAUAACUGUGUAAGUUAUGCUGGGAAACAUGGGAAACACACAAAUUAUGGAUAGUUCUGCAUGUCCUUUUCUCCGUGCGCUGCCUUGGGAAUGGCUUUUUCCCGAAUCUCAGAGACCGAUCUGCUUAAUGGCUCAUCCUGCUCCUGCUUUCAGGAACAUGCCCACUACGAGCAGCUCUGCGGAGGUCCUGGUCCUGGACCUGCCCUCUGGAACAAGGGGCCAUGGGGCCUGGCAGCCUCCAUUGGAAGAGGUGCCCACCUGCUCCAGAACGGUCUGGGCAGUGCACCUCCUUGACCUCACCUGAUGGGCACGUGGUAUUCUUCAGCGUGCUGCCUUCCUUGCUUGGAAUUCGUUUUUUCUGUGCUACUAUUCACCAGGUCUUCAUUUUCCAUUUAAAACAUUUGAGAACCAAAAUGGUAUUUAUAAAAAUCCACUUGAAAAAUUUGUCGGGCUGACUGUAAAUGCACCAAGAGCAUUUUGUGUGUUUCCAGGGCCAGAAAGAAGCUCUAUGGUAACUGUUUAUUUUGCCUUGGAAGGAUAAGUCAGUAUGUGAUAAACAUAGAUCCAAGGUGCCUGACUGGCUGCACCCUUGCUUGCAAAUGGAAGCCCAUAGCUACAAGGGAUUGCUAUUUUGAAAACCCAAGCCCCAGAAUUAACAUAAAUAAGCUACAAUUGAAAAUGGGAUUUUUUUCCCACCUGAGGCAGGAAGAAUUAACUUGCAGGAAUCCUAUCUGGCAACAAAAGCACUUCUCCUUUGUGUUCUCAGAGAAAGAAGUAGCAUUACAAACAAGUUAGAGGGAGGCGUCCCAGCCGUGUGGUUUUAUUAUGACGUAAUGGGAUUGCGCUGUCGGGCUGUGACAGACCCAGCACUUUUUCCAGCACACUUAAAUCUUGGCUGCUUGUAUUUUCACUCGGGCAGUUACAGCUUCCAGCCAUCCUUGAUGGAGGUCGUAUCUUGCCAUCAUUUGCAUGCUCAACUCCUACCGUCACCACCGAGGCCUGAGUAAAAUGGAAUGGUGCAGGCAGCCCCAAAUUUGGCCUAACAACUUGGCAAACCGGCGUAAUCACAGCUCAAUUCACGCUUCUGAGCAAGUGCCAUACGCAGCUGCCUCUUAAAAGCAAACAAAACAUCCCAGCAGCACGAGGUGCCUCCUGCUCCCACCCCUGGAGCAAACGUGUGGGCACGGGCCCAGCCUGAGCAGCACGCGGUGCUAACAGCGCGCUUCGGUAAUGCGCUCGCUGGGCACGCAGAGUGACUUGGCGGGUGGUGAGAUCAAAAUCAUCAGCAGAAGAGCUGCUAAAAGCAUCUCAGCUGCCCGAAGCCGCUCUCAUCAUGGACUGUGAUAGAGCUGCAGUGGGUGCUGUACGACAGUUAGAUGUGAAGUGCUCUUCCUCAUGCUUCGGAAGAAGUAAAACUCUUACCAGGUGAUUAGGAAAAGACCAGAUUAGGAUUGAAACAGCCCGUGCCUGCCCUCACUUCUGUGGAAGACAUCCCGGACCAGGCCCACACGUCCUGCCUGUGGGGGCUGCAGGAUCUCACGGCACCGGUGGGGACUGAUCAGAGCCAGUGGAGCCUCAGGGUCAGUGCUGUGGGAUGUUUCAGGAACAGCAUUCCCCAAACUGCUGAGUGCAGCAGUGUUAAUCCUCCUUGCUAUUCUAGCCUGCAUUAGAGGGGCUUUAGGUGCUUUUAUGUUGAGUGCACUUAGCAGUGGCUGUAGGUUCUCCAGCACAGCGCUGAUAAGAGCCGUACAAUCCCCAAAGCAUUACAACAGCAAUCGAAAAGGAGUGUGCAGGUUUCACGGAGCACAGCCAACACUUCAGGGCCCACUUGCAAA